Molecule: ribosomal RNA, 443 nt
Filed under: uncultured Bacillota bacterium
Lineage: Bacteria; Bacillati; Bacillota
Description: bacterial SSU rRNA
Rfam family: Bacterial small subunit ribosomal RNA
Source: RNAcentral
GGGCCCGCACAAGCGGUGGAGCAUGUGGUUUAAUUCGAAGCAACGCGAAGAACCUUACCAGGUCUUGACAUCCCUUGCAAGUUCAAGAGAUUGAAUGUUCCCUUCGGGGACAAGGUGACAGGUGGUGCAUGGUUGUCGUCAGCUCGUGUCGUGAGAUGUUGGGUUAAGUCCCGCAACGAGCGCAACCCUUAUUAUUAGUUGCCAGCAUUAAGUUGGGCACUCUAAUGAGACUGCCGGUGAUAAACCGGAGGAAGGUGGGGAUGACGUCAAAUCAUCAUGCCCCUUAUGACCUGGGCUACACACGUGCUACAAUGGAUGGUACAACGAGUCGCGAGACCGCGAGGUCAAGCUAAAUCUCUUAAAAGCCAUUCUCAGUUCGGACUGUAGGCUGCAACUCGCCUACACGAAGUCGGAAUCGCUAGUAAUCGCGGAUCAGCACGCCG